Molecule: non-coding RNA, 535 nt
Filed under: unclassified sequences
Description: ROOL RNA
Rfam family: ROOL RNA
About the family: Firmicutes, Fusobacteria (1 example), Tenericutes (1 example). Environment (Cow rumen (57))
Source: Rfam by way of RNAcentral
AUAUAUACUAUAGUCACAUUGGAUCCCAGUGAAGUCAUCUUGCUGAUGGCUGGGGCCCAGCCAAGAAAGGCGACAAUGUGGGAUGCUGCAUUGGAACCAAGACCUCAGUUGAGGUAUUCGGGACUAGAAAACCGCUUUGGUUGGUGGCGCAUUACGCUCUUCGAUGUAAACGACUGUUUGGGCAGGCACGACAAGAGGCUCUGUAGCAAUACAUCCCACGUGAUGAUGCUAGCGUGAGAAACUAGCAUCUGCGUUCUCAAAAGAAGUGCUCGGUUUGACGGAUGGUAACAUCCUAUAACUGUCUUAACAGGUACCAGUAGGGAAACACCGGAUAGUAGUUUCUAGUAAAUGAUGAUCCUGCUGAAGCUUCCUGAGGGUUGAAAGGUAAUCUGAGUCCUUCCCGUUGUUCGGUAGAAAUACCCAUUCCAGAAGUAUGUGGGCCGCUCCCACCUACUCAGCCUGGCGUGAACGUGCGUGAAUAACAAAUUAGAGUAAGUAAUGUAUGACGAAGGUCACCAGUGUUUUUUUAAUAAAA